This 65-nucleotide transfer RNA is filed under the name bovine gut metagenome. It matches the Rfam family "tRNA", at positions 6 to 65 of the family's 71-position model. Rfam says of the family: Transfer RNA (tRNA) molecules are approximately 80 nucleotides in length. Their secondary structure includes four short double-helical elements and three loops (D, anti-codon, and T loops). The record is from RNAcentral.
GCGUAGUUCAGUGGUAGAGCGCCUGUCUGAUAUGCAGGAAACCGGCGGUUCGAAUCCGCCCGUUC